CCUAAGGUUUGACUUAAACAUUGUCCUAAACGACUUUGUUUAUGAAUACGGAGGGAGUAUUUUUGUUGUUAUGAGAUAAUAAAACAUGAAUAGUACUUUACUUGUGACUUAUGUUUUUAAUUUUUUUAAAAAAAAAGAUUAAAAUAAGACGGACGGUUAAAAUUGGGCAUGAAAAACGAUGGCUGCACUUAAA
This 193-nucleotide microRNA precursor is filed under the name Oryza sativa Indica Group (long-grained rice). RNAcentral describes it as "MIR812 microRNA precursor family". It matches the Rfam family "MIR812 microRNA precursor family". Lineage: Eukaryota; Viridiplantae; Streptophyta; Magnoliopsida; Poales; Poaceae. The record is from Rfam by way of RNAcentral.